This 269-nucleotide ribosomal RNA is filed under the name uncultured prokaryote. Its description in RNAcentral is "partial 16S ribosomal RNA". It matches the Rfam family "Bacterial small subunit ribosomal RNA", at positions 524 to 792 of the family's 1533-position model. The record is from RNAcentral.
UACGGAGGAUGCAAGCGUUAUCCGGAUUUAUUGGGUUUAAAGGGUGCGCAGGCGGGGGAUUAAGUCGGCGGUGAAAUUUUGCAGCUCAACUGUAAAAGUGCCUUCGAAACUGGUUUCCUUGAGUGUAGAUGAAGUAGGCGGAAUUUGUGGUGUAGCGGUGAAAUGCAUAGAUAUCACGAGGAACUCCGAUUGCGCAGGCAGCUUACUAAACUACUACUGACGCUCAGGCACGAAGGCGUGGGGAUCAAACAGGAUUAGAUACCCCCGUA